UGAUUAUUUAAAAAGGGAGGGGGGAAGGGGAGGUCUGAUAAAGGAUAUGAAAUGAUUAAAAUACAUAAUGUAUUUUUUUUUUUUUAAUUCUUCAUUUUUCAUUCACAUGCACUCAACUGAAUAUCAGGAAU
Molecule: non-coding RNA, 131 nt
Filed under: Heterosigma akashiwo
Lineage: Eukaryota; Raphidophyceae; Chattonellales; Chattonellaceae
Source: RNAcentral